This 66-nucleotide transfer RNA is filed under the name Onthophagus apterus. RNAcentral's name for it is "tRNA-Cys". It matches the Rfam family "tRNA". From Rfam's summary of the family: Transfer RNA (tRNA) molecules are approximately 80 nucleotides in length. Lineage: Eukaryota; Metazoa; Arthropoda; Insecta; Coleoptera; Scarabaeidae. The record is from RNAcentral.
AGUUUUAUAGUCUAAUCUUAAGAUAUUAAAUUGCAAAUUUAAAGAUGAAUAAUAAUUUUAAAACUU